AGCGCAGGCGGUUUUUUUAAGUCUGAUGUGAAAGCCCUUGGCUCAACCAAGGAAGUGCAUCGGAAACUGGAGAACUUGAGUGCAGAAGAGGACAGUGGAACUCCAUGUGUAGCGGUGAAAUGCGUAGAUAUUAGGAGGAACACCAGUGGCGAAGGCGGCUUUCUGGACUGUAACUGACGCUGAGGCUGAAAGCCAGGGGGAGCGAACG
Molecule: ribosomal RNA, 208 nt
Filed under: uncultured bacterium
Lineage: Bacteria
Description: partial 16S ribosomal RNA
Rfam family: Bacterial small subunit ribosomal RNA
Source: RNAcentral